This 254-nucleotide ribosomal RNA is filed under the name uncultured Paracoccus sp. Its description in RNAcentral is "partial 16S ribosomal RNA". It matches the Rfam family "Bacterial small subunit ribosomal RNA", at positions 524 to 776 of the family's 1533-position model. The record is from RNAcentral. Lineage: Bacteria; Pseudomonadati; Pseudomonadota; Alphaproteobacteria; Rhodobacterales; Paracoccaceae.
UACGGAGAGGGCUAGCGUUGUUCGGAAUUACUGGGCGUAAAGCGCACGUAGGCGGACCAGAAAGUUGGGGGGUGAAAUCCCGGGGCUCAACCUCGGAACUGCCUUCAAAACUAUUGGUCUGGAGUUCGAGAGAGGUGAGUGGAAUUCCGAGUGUAGAGGUGAAAUUCGUAGAUAUUCGGAGGAACACCAGUGGCGAAGGCGGCUCACUGGCUCGAUACUGACGCUGAGGUGCGAAAGCGUGGGGAGCAAACAGG